AGAAAGCCCAAUUCCAUCUGGCCCCUGCAGGUUGGCUCAGCACUGGGGAAUCAGAGUCCCCUCCAUGACCAAGGCACCACUCCACUGACAGGUAUGGUAUCCAUUUGCCCUCUCUUCUUGGAUUCUCAAGCUGGGGCAGAGUCCAUGGCAGCCAAGGGUGGCUUGGAUCUGCCCAUCCCAUUCUCUUCAGACCCUCCUCAGGGAUUAAGGUCAAAGGUGGGAGGAAGAAGGCUUCCAUUGGCCUUUUAUCCUAGAGGUUCUAAUGGAGGGGAAAAGGGGAUAGGAUAUUUUCUAUCCAAUCAGGAUGUUUAGGAGAUAGUCACAUGGAAGUGGAAUGGCCUUUGGACCCAGGAGUCAGGAAACCUGAGUAGCAGUCCUGGUUUUACCAUUUACCCAAUGUGUAUCUUUGGGUAAGUCCUUUCUCCAAUCUAGGACACAGUUUUUUCACCCCUUUUGCAAAAUAAAAAAGUAAAAAGAGGAAAAGAAUGAUUAGAUAGAUGCUGUCUAGAGACCCAUGGUUAUUAGAUUCCUAAUUUUCAUGAUUGUCAGCCCUCUGUCAAGAAAGAAGAUGAGAGUAAUCUUUGCAUAUGUAACUGUGGGUGGGGCUGAACACAUUCAAGAGGAGAGUGCUGGUGGUAAUCCAUAUAGCACUCUCUGAGAGGCAUGACUCAAAGAUGAAAGCCUCUUUUCUAGUCCAAUCUUUGACUCCUAGAGAUUCAAAAUUGAAAGACUCUUAGAGACUAGGUACAUAUGGAAGAAACUGAGGUCCAGAAAGAGGAAGAAAGGGACUUGCCCAAAGUCCUGCUCAUACUAGAGGCAGUCUGGGAUUUUUAGGCAUGGUCC
RNAcentral lists this long non-coding RNA (843 nucleotides) under Homo sapiens (human). Its description in RNAcentral is "PREDICTED lncRNA (TCONS_00270826)". Lineage: Eukaryota; Metazoa; Chordata; Mammalia; Primates; Hominidae. The record is from RNAcentral.